UACGUAGGGCGCAAGCGCUAUCCGGAAUUAUUGGGCGUAAAGAGCUCGUAGGCGGUUUGUCGCGUCUGCCGUGAAAGUCCGGGGCUCAACUCCGGAUCUGCGGUGGGUACGGGCAGACUAGAGUGAUGUAGGGGAGACUGGAAUUCCUGGUGUAGCGGUGAAAUGCGCAGAUAUCAGGAGGAACACCGAUGGCGAAGGCAGGUCUCUGGGCAUUAACUGACGCUGAGGAGCGAAAGCAUGGGGAGCGAACAGG
This 253-nucleotide ribosomal RNA is filed under the name uncultured bacterium. Its description in RNAcentral is "partial 16S ribosomal RNA". It matches the Rfam family "Bacterial small subunit ribosomal RNA", at positions 524 to 776 of the family's 1533-position model. The record is from RNAcentral.